CCAGCGACGCCGCGUUGGGGAUGAAGCCCUUCGGGGCGUAAACCCAUGUUGUAGGGGACGAAGAAAGUGACGGUACCCUACGAGAAAGCCCCGGCCAACUACGUGCCAGCAGCCGCGGUAAU
This 122-nucleotide ribosomal RNA is filed under the name uncultured bacterium. RNAcentral's name for it is "partial 16S ribosomal RNA". It matches the Rfam family "Bacterial small subunit ribosomal RNA", at positions 388 to 524 of the family's 1533-position model. The record is from RNAcentral.